This 496-nucleotide ribosomal RNA is filed under the name uncultured bacterium. RNAcentral describes it as "partial 16S ribosomal RNA". It matches the Rfam family "Bacterial small subunit ribosomal RNA", at positions 29 to 507 of the family's 1533-position model. The record is from RNAcentral.
AUGCACGCUGGCGGCGUGCCUCAUCCAUGCAAGUCGCGCGAACAGACGAGGAGCUUGCUCCUCUGACGUUAGCGGCGGACGGGUGAGUAACACGUGGAUAACCUACCUAUAAGACUGGGAUAACUUCGGGAAACCGGAGCUAAUACCGGAUAACAUGUUGAACCGCAUGGUUUAACAGUGAAAGACGGUCUUGCUGUCACUUAUAGAUGGAUCCGCGCCGCAUUAGCUAGUUGGUAAGGUAACGGCUUACCAAGGCAACGAUGCGUAGCCGACCUGAGAGGGUGAUCGGCCACACUGGAACUGAGACACGGUCCAGACUCCUACGGGAGGCAGCAGUAGGGAAUCUUCCGCAAUGGGCGAAAGCCUGACGGAGCAACGCCGCGUGAGUGAAGAAGGUCUUCGGAUCGUAAAACUCUGUUAUUAGGGAAGAACAAAUGUGUAAGUAACUAUGCACGUCUUGACGGUACCUAAUCAGAAAGCCACGGCUAACUACGUG